AAUGACAUAAUUCAAGGUAAUCACAAGUGCCGGUUUCGGUGUCAUGUCGGACGUAAUCGCUAAUCUCAGAAAACUGUAAUUAGUUGUUUUUAAUUAUAGUGCCCUAAUCAAUUUUGUGAGAUCUAGUUGUGCUUCUAGUUAGGUUAUCAGUAUUUGUGAUGUUAUCCGUUGUUUUCUUUCAGAUCUAGUUUUGUUUCUAACAAUUUUUUUCGUUUACUAUAUACCCUAGAUAAUUUAAUAUUAAAUUAAAA
Molecule: long non-coding RNA, 251 nt
Filed under: Medicago truncatula (barrel medic)
Lineage: Eukaryota; Viridiplantae; Streptophyta; Magnoliopsida; Fabales; Fabaceae
Description: long non-coding RNA (MTRU_LNC003032)
Source: RNAcentral